RNAcentral lists this long non-coding RNA (440 nucleotides) under Salvia miltiorrhiza (redroot sage). RNAcentral describes it as "long non-coding RNA (SMIL_LNC011871)". The record is from RNAcentral. Lineage: Eukaryota; Viridiplantae; Streptophyta; Magnoliopsida; Lamiales; Lamiaceae.
UUUGUUUGUGCUUUUUUGUGUUCUCUUCUGGCUUGCUCUUCGGUGCUUUGUUGUUGCAGGUGGAUGCUGGGUCCUGGUUGCUGCGCGGUCAUUCACGUGGACCUCUAUGUGCGAUGGUUCCUUCUUCGCUCAUGUUUCGUCCGUUGGGCUGUUGGAGUGCCUUCCCUUUCUGGGUUUUUUUCGCUUUUUUCUUUGUUUUCUUUGUCUCUGGUUGGGUGAGCUGGGCCUCCUAGGGGUGAUGGUUCGGCCGGAGCCUUUGAGGGGGCCCACCCGCUCACUGCCAGUUUAUUUGUUGUUCUUAGACUGACACUCUUUUUCCUCUUUUUCUUGAAGAGGUUUUAACGAGGCCCGGCCCUCAGUUGCGUCUGUGCUCUCUUGGGUCUAGGUUUUUUCUUUCUCUUUUUUAAUAAAACCACAUUGUUCAGCAGUUUAUAUAUAUA